UGCGUAGGCGGUUAGGUAAGUCAGAUGUGAAAUUCCAGGGCUCAACCUUGGAACUGCAUUUGAUACUGCUUGACUAGAGUACUGGAGGGGAGACUGAAAUUCACGGUGUAGCAGUGAAAUGCGUAGAUAUCGUGAGGAAGGCCAGCGGCGAAGGCGAGUCUCUGGACAGUUACUGACGCUGAGGCACGAAGGCUAGGGGAGCAAACG
This 207-nucleotide ribosomal RNA is filed under the name uncultured bacterium. RNAcentral describes it as "partial 16S ribosomal RNA". It matches the Rfam family "Bacterial small subunit ribosomal RNA", at positions 568 to 774 of the family's 1533-position model. The record is from RNAcentral.